GAGGGUAUAGCUCAGUAGUGGAGUGCCUGCUUAGCAUGUGUGAGGUCUUGGGUUCAAUCCCCAGUACCUCUA
RNAcentral lists this transfer RNA (72 nucleotides) under Camelus bactrianus (Bactrian camel). It matches the Rfam family "tRNA". From Rfam's summary of the family: Transfer RNA (tRNA) molecules are approximately 80 nucleotides in length. Lineage: Eukaryota; Metazoa; Chordata; Mammalia; Artiodactyla; Camelidae. The record is from Rfam by way of RNAcentral. RNAcentral also lists the same sequence under 3 other names.